AUACGAACUGUGCGAACGUUAUUCGGAAUCACUGGGCUUAAAGGGUGCGUAGGCGGCUUGUUAAGUCAGGUGUGAAAUCCCCCGGCUCAACCGGGGAACAGCGCUUGAAACUAGCAGGCUGGAGUGAGGCAGGGGUGUGCGGAACUUCCAGUGGAGCGGUGAAAUGUGUAGAUAUUGGAAGGAACGCCGGCGGCGAAAGCGGCACACUGGGCCUUGUCUGACGCUGAGGCACGAAAGCCAGGGGAGUGAACGGGAUUAGAUACCCCGGUAAUCCUGGCCGUAAACACUGAGCACUGGAGGGGGGCGGCUUCGGCCUUCCCCCUCGUAGCGAAAGCGUUAAGUGCUCCGCCUGGGGAGUAUGGUCGCAAGGCUGAA
Molecule: ribosomal RNA, 375 nt
Filed under: uncultured bacterium
Lineage: Bacteria
Description: bacterial SSU rRNA
Rfam family: Bacterial small subunit ribosomal RNA
Source: RNAcentral